RNAcentral lists this ribosomal RNA (497 nucleotides) under uncultured bacterium. RNAcentral describes it as "partial 16S ribosomal RNA". It matches the Rfam family "Bacterial small subunit ribosomal RNA", at positions 28 to 507 of the family's 1533-position model. The record is from RNAcentral.
GAUGAACGCUGGCGGCGUGCCUAAUACAUGCAAGUCGAGCGAACAUAUAAGGAGCUUGCUCCUUUGACAUUAGCGGCGGACGGGUGAGUAACACGUGGGUAACCUACCUAUAAGACUGGAAUAACUCCGGGAAACCGGGGCUCAGGCCGGAUAACAUUUAGAACCGCAUGGUUCUAAAGUGAAAGAUGCUUUUGCUAUCCCUUAUAGAUGGUCCCGCGCCGGAUUAGCUAGUUGGUAAGGUAACGGUUUACCAAGGCAACGAUACGUAGCCGACAUGAGAGGGAGAUCGGCCACACUGGAACGGAGACACGGCCCAGAGUCCGACGGGAGGCAGCAGUAGGGAAUCUGCCGGGAUGGGGGAAAGCCUGACGGAGCAACGCCGCGUGCGUGAUGAAGGUAUUCUGAUCGUAAAACUCUGUUAUUAGGGAAGAAAAAAUGUGUAAGUAACUGUGCACGUCUUGACGGUACCUAAUCAGAAAGCCACGGCUAACUACGUG